UCUGGUCUUUGUGAUACUUUUUUUUUUUUCUCUGUUUCAAAGCUAGAGUCUCCCUGACUGGUGGAUGGUUGCCCUCACCGAAAGUGUCUGAGUUCAGCCAGGAUCAAAUCAGUGUUCAGCAAAGCUGAAGAGAGCUCUGGCCAUGCUGCAGACUUCACCUCUUCCUCAGGGAGCACCACGCCAGACACAGCUGCUGUGCCGCGUGGGUCCUUUCGGGAUUCUCGAAGGUGUGCGUGCAUCCCGGACAGGCCAGAGUGACAGCCGACCAUCCAGAUCACCACAAUUAAGACAGACAACAUUUGCCUCAACACAGGAUGUGCAGUUGUGGGAAGAAAUACUACAACUUCAUUUU
This 352-nucleotide long non-coding RNA is filed under the name Fukomys damarensis (Damara mole-rat). RNAcentral's name for it is "lncRNA (ENSFDAG00000026260.1)". Lineage: Eukaryota; Metazoa; Chordata; Mammalia; Rodentia; Bathyergidae. The record is from RNAcentral.